GAAAAGGUCCCCAUCUUCUCCAUCCACUCCAUGGUCCUGGUAUACGACAGGUAUGGGCAGAGAUUUCCACCUGUUGAAAGCAGGAAGGGCUCUGACAUGUGGAUGAGAGGCAGCAGCAUUGUGGAGAAGAGUGGAGAGUCAGCCUUCAAAGGAACAGAAACAGAGGAGCAGAAAACAAGUUCAGUUUACCUGUACACAGUGGGGAAACUUUGACUGUUGUUUGCUCAAAACCUUACUUUCAUUCAGUCAUUUUCACUUCAUAUCUCAAUAUGACAUGAAGUCAGGAGAUAAUUGUUCAUAGGCUAAGCUGCUGAGAGGCAAUAGGUAAUGCUGAUCUCGUUCCCAGACAUUAUUUUUAUUUUUGCUUGGUUUUUUUUUUUUUUUUUGUAUGCUGCUCAUAUGAACACCAACAAAUCCCUCCAUACACUCAUGCUGAACUCAUACUUUAAUAUAUAGAUAUACAUAUUCAGCACAGUCCAUUCAUCUUAUAUGAGCAGCUUCAUAGUAUAAUAAUUGUUUGAGCGUGGACUGGGUAUAAUAAAUAUCCUGCUGAGCUCAAACUAAAAAAUUGAACCAGAUCUCAGAGGUGGGGUGGGAUGGGAGAAGUGCUAUAGUUAUUUCCUAGUUUAUAAGCUUCCUUCUUUCCUAGGCAUCCCUUCCUAGCAGAAGACUUUUAAAUAGGAUAACAGAUAACAGAGUUGGAAGGGACUUGGAGCAGUGGUGAAAUCCAAAUUUUUUUACUACUGGUUCUGUGGGCGUGGCUUGGUGGGCAUGGCAGGGGAAGGAUACUGCAAAAUCUCCAUUCCCUCCUCACUCUGGGGCCAGCCAGAGGUGGCAUUUGCCAGUUCUCUGAACUACUCAAAAUUUCCGCUAUCGGUUCUCCAGAACCUGUCAGAACCUGCUGGAUUUCACCCCUGCCUUGGAGGUCAUCUAGUCUAACCCCCUGCUCACACAGGAGAUCCUGUACAAGGGAUUUGAACCGCCAAACUGCCAACCUUUCUGAUUGACAAUGAUCAUCUGACUGUAUGACAAUGAUGACAAUGAUAAUCUGACUGUAGUCUGAGGUGAGCUUUCUUGUGCCUGGUUCCAUCCUGGACCCUUUGGCCUUCCCCACCGCCUCGGAAGCCCUCCAGAGGCCACCAGAAACAGUCCGUUUCCCAAUGUCCGGUGGGCCUGGAAGGCUGGAAAAUCAGGUGGCCGGCACGCGCAUGCACGCUGCAGCUGAGCUAGGGCAACGCUCGCGUGCCCACAGAUAUGGCAUCGUGUGCCACAUGUGGCAUACAUGCAAAAGGUUAGCCAUCAUAGGCUUAAGCCCUCAGCUAAAUAGAAACUUUUAGUGAUUUUCACACAGGGCUUCCUUUCUCAUACUUCAUUGAGUCCCAUCAAUGUCCACAUCGACUUCAUAUGAUAUUUAUGUGAAUCAGCCAACUUAACCAUCUAAGACUGUUUUUAGGUCAGCCACCUGUCUGGCUGUAGCAGAUGACUUUCCUAAAAACCACCAUUGCACAUGAUUGCGCUGUAUCAGUAUCAGAACAAACUGUUUCAUUGUAAUAGGUUUGCCUAAAGCAAUGUUUUUUCCUCAACUUCAACAACCUUAAGGUGUGGACUUCAACUCCCAGAAUUCCUCAGCCUGCUCUAAAGCAACCUUUCCCUGCUGUAGUUUCCAAGUUUUCUGUGAUACAACUGCCAUAACUCCAAGCCUACAACCAAGUUGCCUAGGCAUUUGAAAUCCUAAUACAUCCAAAAGAUCCCUGAUUGAGGAAGGCUGCCAUAACCAAUUCUGGGAAUUAAAUUAAGGAUAACCUGAACCUUUUCAAGAGCCUUGGUGGCGCAGUGGUUAGAGUGCAGUACUGUAGGCUAUUUCUGCUGCCUGCCGGCUGCCUGCAAUUUGGCAGUUCAAAUCCCACCAGACUCAAGGUUGAUUCAGCCUUCCAUCCUUCCGAGGUGGGUAAAAUGAGGACCCAGAUUGUUGGGGGCAAUAGGCUGACUCUGUAAACCACUUAGAAAGGGCUGUAAAGCACUGUAAAGCAGUAUAUAAGUCUAAGUGCUAUUGCUAUCCCUGUCACAUCCCAUACAAUGUUUCUCUCUUAUCCCUAGUCAAUGGCCUGGUUUACACAGAGAACUAAGACAUAACAUACUUCAUUGGUUGGUUUUUGACACAGCAUGACAUAUGAACGUUUUUCAAGAGGCAACUGGACUUUCUUGUUUUUUCUUUGAGGACAUUUCGCUUGUCAUCCAAGAAGCUUCUUCAUCUCUGAGUGGAUGCUAGGAAAUGGAAGGUUUUAUAUUCCUUGCAGACAGCUGGCCAUUUGCAUUGUUUUAGAGAGUUGUUGAGGCCACUUGGAGGUUUAUCUGUGUCCUCAGGGUCACCUGAGUAGACACCUAACCUAGAAUCUCCAUAGGCAUGACAUAUGAACCUUAUGUCUUAGCAGUGCAUGUGGACUCUGACUUGUUCAAUAAUACUGAAAUCCAGGUUUACAUGUUUUAUAUAGGGAUGUAGCCCAUCACUUUUUCUUCCAUUAUAGAAAUGGAAGUUCAUAGAGCUCCAAGAGGAAAGGAAGUCAAUUCAGAUCUGCAGUGUAAGUAACAUCAUAGCCAUAGUCCAAAACACUGUUCAAUGUACAUAAGCUUGGCCUGUUAAGCUAUCAUAUGUCUCCUUAGCCAAAUACCGAUUUAUAAACAUUGUUGUUUAGGUGGCCUUUUUUUAAAAAAAAAAGAAGUUGCAGUGAGAAAAACAGCUAUAGAUGCCACCAUCAAUAACAAAUAUUUCUUGAA
Molecule: long non-coding RNA, 2775 nt
Organism: Pantherophis guttatus
Lineage: Eukaryota; Metazoa; Chordata; Lepidosauria; Squamata; Colubridae
Source: RefSeq, a predicted model, not a curated record